This 301-nucleotide ribosomal RNA is filed under the name uncultured bacterium. RNAcentral describes it as "partial 16S ribosomal RNA". It matches the Rfam family "Bacterial small subunit ribosomal RNA", at positions 509 to 807 of the family's 1533-position model. The record is from RNAcentral.
CAGCCGCCGCGGGAACACGAAGGGUGCAAGCGUUACUCGGAAUUACUGGGCGUAAAGCGUGCGUAGGUGGUGGUUUAAGUCCGUUGUGAAAGCCCUGGGCUCAACCUGGGAAUUGCAGUGGAUACUGGAUCACUAGAGUGUGGUAGAGGAUAGUGGAAUUUCCGGUGUAGCAGUGAAAUGCGUAGAGAUCGGAAGGAACAUCUGUGGCGAAGGCGACUAUCUGGGCCAACACUGACACUGAGGCACGAAAGCGUGGGGAGCAAACAGGAUUAGAUACCCGAGUAGUCCCUGUCUCUUAUAC